AAUCUGGUUUAAGCCACUGGUCUGAUAUUCGUCGGACUGGGAAGGCUUAUUAAGAUUGGGAAUGUGGUGAGAUUCCACAGCUAUGCCGUAGCGGUAAUGUACUACUAUCCUGAGCGAAGUCGAAGGAUUCGUAGAACUCAGCCCGAAGACCGACCAGAUACUGUACCUCGAG
RNAcentral lists this non-coding RNA (172 nucleotides) under Candidatus Roizmaniibacteriota. The record is from RNAcentral.